CACGGAAGGAAGUAGAAGUCGCAGCCCGUGGAAGAGGGAAGGAACUCCUCUUCCUCAGAGCUGGCCGAGUGGUCUGGGGCAUCCGGGCACUGUUACCAGGACAAAGGCAUCGAUCUCGGCUGAGAGAACGCUGAGAUGUAUUGACAGAGAGGUUUGCAUCGAUCCAGCAGGAAGUAAGCGGUGUGUGGUCACCUGCCCGGGAAUGAGACCCACUCCGUACGAGAGACGAGGGGGCUACAGACGACGGGGAGGCUCGGGGCUCCGAGGCUGCAGGACCCCCGGCCUGGGGUCACCG
Molecule: long non-coding RNA, 295 nt
Filed under: Bos indicus x Bos taurus (hybrid cattle)
Lineage: Eukaryota; Metazoa; Chordata; Mammalia; Artiodactyla; Bovidae
Description: lncRNA (ENSBIXG00000011285.1)
Source: RNAcentral